GCAGUGAGCUGAGAUUGUGCCACCACACUCCUGCCUGGCAUUUGGAUCCCCUGGUUUUUGUCCAUGCUGCUGGGUUUCUGAAGCACAGCCCUCCCUAAACCUUGUUUGUGCCUACAUCAGAACUUCUGAACUUAUCCCUUGUUGAUGAGCGGAUGGCCUCAACUACAUCUUCAACGUCAGCGUAUUUCUGGUUCUCCUGGCCUUACCUUUCACCCCAUUGCUCCACCCCACUUCCCAUGAUCCUGGCACUGACAACAAGACUGCUGUGGUGAUGACGUAAAUUAAUGGUUUGAUUCAAUGCAGCAACUAGCAAGGAUGUGAAAGUAAAAGAUUUUGAUCUGAAAAA
Non-coding RNA from Macaca mulatta (Rhesus monkey), 346 nucleotides. The record is from RefSeq and is a predicted model, not a curated record. Lineage: Eukaryota; Metazoa; Chordata; Mammalia; Primates; Cercopithecidae.